Odocoileus virginianus texanus is the source of this 974-nucleotide non-coding RNA. Lineage: Eukaryota; Metazoa; Chordata; Mammalia; Artiodactyla; Cervidae. The record is from RefSeq and is a predicted model, not a curated record.
CCCGCUCGCGGCCCUCCGCGGUGAAAUCUGCUGCGGUGGCCGCCGCCUUCAGCGCCUGGCACCUUACCUUUAAGGCCAGAGAACGAAGUCUGGAAACCCUCGGCUCCCGGAUCCAAUAUCCUGCCCGCGCCAGAGGUGUUUUUUGAAGUCACUGCGCACAAGUGAGGGGGUUCCACAUGUGAAGAGCCACCCCACUGCCGUAGGAUCAUAAAUUACAGAGAUCAAUACUCUCUCGCAUUAAGAUUCAGGAGGUGUUAGAAGUAGGCCUUUGUGUGAUGCCCUUGGCUUAAUGAGCAGAUGACAGGGACUUUGGCAUCCCAUGGGCCUCAGAUUGAUGAGGUCCAGGUGAGCAGUAUUUUCACGUUGAAUGCAAGAACAAGAUUCUGGAAUAUUAAAUAUUUCCUGUGAAUAAAAAAGGAAUGGGUUUCGCUAAACAGUGGAAGAGUGUUGUUUCGGAUGCACUAUACGGGGUGGCCUAUUUAGAAUUAACACCAUUUGAUGCAGUCUGACUAUAAAUGGAAGGGUUUUUCCUUGCUCAACAUAGUGCGACUCAUAAAAGAGAAAAUUCUGAUAGUAGCCUUUGCAAUGGAACCAACAGCCAGAAGUUGAACUUCAUACAUCCAGUAUCCACAUGGAGGAGAUAACUUCAAGUUCCAGGGUGAAGCUUCAAGUUAGGAACAGUGUUGAUCUCAUAUUAGGAUGGAUUAAAUUCAAAACAAUUGAAGCAGCAUAGGCAUAUAAACAAACAAAUGUAUGGGGUGGAGAGGUGAAGUCAUUUUAAAGAAAUAAACAUGCCAUGUGGAUUUUCAGAGGAGCCUUUUUGUUCUUUGGUGCUUAGGUCACCACAGAGCACCGAGUGGACUUUCCUGUGCUUACAACCUCAUCACUGGCAAGCAUGGGCUCGUCACUGCUGGGGAAGAAGGAUCUGAGAACAGAAGAGGCACAUGCAAUACUUUCCAACCAGGCGGUUUCCA